This is a long non-coding RNA of Manis pentadactyla (Chinese pangolin), 828 nucleotides long. RefSeq lists it as uncharacterized. The transcript is spliced from 3 exons. Lineage: Eukaryota; Metazoa; Chordata; Mammalia; Pholidota; Manidae. The record is from RefSeq and is a predicted model, not a curated record.
GGUGUUUUCCUUGGCUGGGAGUGGUGAGUGGGACUCACCAGCCUGUCCAUGCCUACGACUUCCCUGCCUUGACAGCCAGGGGGACGACAGAUCAAUUUCAUCUCACCAACUUCCAGCAAUUGGUGCCGAAUCCCAGUCACCCUGUGUCGAUAAGAAAUGUGACGCUAGCAGCAGAUUCUGUGCAAGAGAGUGACAACGGUCUGCUCUGCGCCUGGAGGGAGUCAGCAGGGUUACAACUCUCAGUUACAACUUUACACUGAAGUGCUUUGACGUGGAGAUACCCCAUGUGUUCGUGCAGCCUGUUUGAAGGUUUUAACUGCCGCCAUCACCACCACCGCCAUCCUCACCACCAUCAUGUAGUCAUCAUCAUCAUUACUGUGAUUAAUGUCAACAAGCAGCCCAGAGUGACUGUGGGAUUCCAAUUACCUGAGACAGGCUGGCAGGGGCAGCCCAGGGCCAGGGGAGCCUCAUGAGUGGACCCCUUUCUCUCUGGUGCCUCUUUACACAGUUACAGGUAACCAGGAGCCCAGCAUUUAAUGCACCAGCUGUAGCAUCACCUCUGUCCCCGAGUUCUGCCCACAGCCUGACCUCACAAGUCAAUUGCAGCUGUUUUCAUUGUGCUCGUUGGCUUCCAGCAUCCACCCAGCCCAGCUUUCAACAAAGGGUGGAUUCCCAUGAACUCUAUUCUUUAUUACCAGCUGGUUCCGAUUAGAGAUGAGCCAAUAAAACGAGGGGUAAUACAGUCGCAGUGUGUUCCUGAAUGUAGCACUUUUCCAUGUGUUUUGAUUUACUGUUUGACCAAUAAAAUUCAGCCCUCAGCAAGGUGGA